This 491-nucleotide ribosomal RNA is filed under the name uncultured bacterium. Its description in RNAcentral is "partial 16S ribosomal RNA". It matches the Rfam family "Bacterial small subunit ribosomal RNA", at positions 29 to 506 of the family's 1533-position model. The record is from RNAcentral.
AGUGAACGCUGGCGGUAGGCCUAACACAUGCAAGUCGAACGGCAGCACAGUAAGAGCUUGCUCUUACGGGUGGCGAGUGGCGGACGGGUGAGGAAUACAUCGGAAUCUACUUUUUCGUGGGGGAUAACGUAGGGAAACUUACGCUAAUACCGCAUACGACCUACGGGUGAAAGCAGGGGAUCUUCGGACCUUGCGCGAUUGAAUGAGCCGAUGUCGGAUUAGCUAGUUGGCGGGGUAAAGGCCCACCAAGGCGACGAUCCGUAGCUGGUCUGAGAGGAUGAUCAGCCACACUGGAGCUGAGACACGGUCCAGACUCCGACGGGAGGCAGCAGUGGGGAAUAUUGGACAAUGGGCGCAAGCCUGAUCCAGCCAUACCGCGUGGGUGAAGAAGGCCUUCGGGUUGUAAAGCCCUUUUGUUGGGAAAGAAAAGCAGCAGGUUAAUACCCCGCUGUUCUGACGGUACCCAAAGAAUAAGCACCGGCGAACUUCGU